Schizosaccharomyces pombe (fission yeast) is the source of this 805-nucleotide non-coding RNA. The record is from the annotation of a GenBank genome assembly. NCBI's taxonomy places the organism in Eukaryota, Fungi, Ascomycota, Schizosaccharomycetes, Schizosaccharomycetales, Schizosaccharomycetaceae.
UUUUCCUUGAAAGAACGAUAAAUCGGGGAGAGUCCGACGAAUAUCUUUAUCAAUUUGUUCAAGUAUUUGAUUGUCAUCGAAAUAUUCCUUCCAUUUUGAAUCAUCACUAGUAUUUAAAGGAUGGUCACUGUUUUCGCCUGAUUCCUCGUGUAGAGUUAGUUUCCUCCAAGGAUCAAUAAGAAGCUCUUGAACGAAAGAUGUAUAAGUUUUUCGAUGUUUUUCUAGAACUGAUUGCCAGUUUGAUCUAUCGGUAGGAAGGAACUCAAGCAUCAACAUCCAAGCUUUUGCCCUAAGUGAAUAUUCAUCAGGAAUUCCUUGAAUACAAAGCGAGCAUAAACCAGGGAGAGAAAUUGGCUCUUCCGAAUUUAAAAUGUCUUUAAAUUUUUCAAUGCGUUGCUUAUAGUCCAUAAUAAACUAGAAGCGAUUCAAAUAAGAUAUUAUGUAGUUUGACUAUAUCCAAUUUAGUUAUAUUAUCAUAUAUAAAAUAUUACUGUUGAAAAUUAAAUAUAUGAAGAAAAGGAGAGCGCAAUUGGUGUGUUCAGUAGCCUGUUUCACACGUGGAUGAUGGAACUAAGUUAGCUACUAAAAUUGAAUGCAAGUUUAAGAACCGACUAAAUUUUCUGACUUAUUUUUUAUACUAAUUUCCUUCUUAACAAUACUUCCCUAAUCAAAUACUGUAGGAAAGUACAGAGUAAUGAACGUCCUUAGUAGAUGUACAGUAUAGGUAAGAUUGAUGUAGGUGCAACAUACAGACCAGGAAAGAAAUAUUUGGUUUAAACAGCACCUAGAACGAGCAAUUAAUAAU